This 2816-nucleotide ribosomal RNA is filed under the name Klebsiella pneumoniae. RNAcentral describes it as "partial 23S ribosomal RNA". It matches the Rfam family "Bacterial large subunit ribosomal RNA". Lineage: Bacteria; Pseudomonadati; Pseudomonadota; Gammaproteobacteria; Enterobacterales; Enterobacteriaceae. The record is from RNAcentral.
GGUUAAGCGACUAAGCGUACACGGUGGAUGCCCUGGCAGUCAGAGGCGAUGAAGGACGUGCUAAUCUGCGAAAAGCGUCGGUAAGGUGAUAUGAACCGUUAUAACCGGCGAUGUCCGAAUGGGGAAACCCAGUGCAAUUCGUUGCACUAUCGUUAACUGAAUACAUAGGUUAACGAGGCGAACCGGGGGAACUGAAACAUCUAAGUACCCCGAGGAAAAGAAAUCAACCGAGAUUCCCCCAGUAGCGGCGAGCGAACGGGGAGCAGCCCAGAGUCUGAAUCAGCUUGUGUGUUAGUGGAACGGUCUGGAAAGUCCGACGGUACAGGGUGAUAGUCCCGUACACCAAAAUGCACAGGCUGUGAACUCGAAGAGUAGGGCGGGACACGUGGUAUCCUGUCUGAAUAUGGGGGGACCAUCCUCCAAGGCUAAAUACUCCUGACUGACCGAUAGUGAACCAGUACCGUGAGGGAAAGGCGAAAAGAACCCCGGCGAGGGGAGUGAAAAAGAACCUGAAACCGUGUACGUACAAGCAGUGGGAGCACCUUCGGGUGUGACUGCGUACCUUUUGUAUAAUGGGUCAGCGACUUAUAUUCUGUAGCAAGGUUAACCGUAUAGGGGAGCCGCAGGGAAACCGAGUCUUAACUGGGCGUUAAGUUGCAGGGUAUAGACCCGAAACCCGGUGAUCUAGCCAUGGGCAGGUUGAAGGUUGGGUAACACUAACUGGAGGACCGAACCGACUAAUGUUGAAAAAUUAGCGGAUGACUUGUGGCUGGGGGUGAAAGGCCAAUCAAACCGGGAGAUAGCUGGUUCUCCCCGAAAGCUAUUUAGGUAGCGCCUCGUGAACUCAUCUUCGGGGGUAGAGCACUGUUUCGGCUAGGGGGUCAUCCCGACUUACCAACCCGAUGCAAACUACGAAUACCGAAGAAUGUUAUCACGGGAGACACACGGCGGGUGCUAACGUCCGUCGUGAAGAGGGAAACAACCCAGACCGCCAGCUAAGGUCCCAAAGUCAUGGUUAAGUGGGAAACGAUGUGGGAAGGCACAGACAGCCAGGAUGUUGGCUUAGAAGCAGCCAUCAUUUAAAGAAAGCGUAAUAGCUCACUGGUCGAGUCGGCCUGCGCGGAAGAUGUAACGGGGCUAAACCAUGCACCGAAGCUGCGGCAGCGACACUAUGUGUUGUUGGGUAGGGGAGCGUUCUGUAAGCCUGCGAAGGUGACCUGUGAGGGUUGCUGGAGGUAUCAGAAGUGCGAAUGCUGACAUAAGUAACGAUAAAGCGGGUGAAAAGCCCGCUCGCCGGAAGACCAAGGGUUCCUGUCCAACGUUAAUCGGGGCAGGGUGAGUCGACCCCUAAGGCGAGGCCGAAAGGCGUAGUCGAUGGGAAACAGGUUAAUAUUCCUGUACUUGGUGUUACUGCGAAGGGGGGACGGAGAAGGCUAUGUUAGCCGGGCGACGGUUGUCCCGGUUUAAGCAUGUAGGCUGGUUGUCCAGGCAAAUCCGGAUAAUCAAGGCUGAGGUGUGAUGACGAGGCACUACGGUGCUGAAGUAACAAAUGCCCUGCUUCCAGGAAAAGCCUCUAAGCAUCAGGUAACAUCAAAUCGUACCCCAAACCGACACAGGUGGUCAGGUAGAGAAUACCAAGGCGCUUGAGAGAACUCGGGUGAAGGAACUAGGCAAAAUGGUGCCGUAACUUCGGGAGAAGGCACGCUGGUGUGUAGGUGAAGUCCCUGCGGAUGGAGCUGAGACCAGUCGAAGAUACCAGCUGGCUGCAACUGUUUAUUAAAAACACAGCACUGUGCAAACACGAAAGUGGACGUAUACGGUGUGACGCCUGCCCGGUGCCGGAAGGUUAAUUGAUGGGGUUAUCCGUAAGGAGAAGCUCUUGAUCGAAGCCCCGGUAAACGGCGGCCGUAACUAUAACGGUCCUAAGGUAGCGAAAUUCCUUGUCGGGUAAGUUCCGACCUGCACGAAUGGCGUAAUGAUGGCCAGGCUGUCUCCACCCGAGACUCAGUGAAAUUGAACUCGCUGUGAAGAUGCAGUGUACCCGCGGCAAGACGGAAAGACCCCGUGAACCUUUACUAUAGCUUGACACUGAACAUUGAGCCUUGAUGUGUAGGAUAGGUGGGAGGCUUUGAAGCGUGGACGCCAGUCUGCGUGGAGCCAACCUUGAAAUACCACCCUUUAAUGUUUGAUGUUCUAACGUUGGCCCCUUACCGGGGUUGCGGACAGUGUCUGGUGGGUAGUUUGACUGGGGCGGUCUCCUCCCAAAGCGUAACGGAGGAGCACGAAGGUUAGCUAAUCCUGGUCGGACAUCAGGAGGUUAGUGCAAUGGCAUAAGCUAGCUUGACUGCGAGCGUGACGGCGCGAGCAGGUGCGAAAGCAGGUCAUAGUGAUCCGGUGGUUCUGAAUGGAAGGGCCAUCGCUCAACGGAUAAAAGGUACUCCGGGGAUAACAGGCUGAUACCGCCCAAGAGUUCAUAUCGACGGCGGUGUUUGGCACCUCGAUGUCGGCUCAUCACAUCCUGGGGCUGAAGUAGGUCCCAAGGGUAUGGCUGUUCGCCAUUUAAAGUGGUACGCGAGCUGGGUUUAGAACGUCGUGAGACAGUUCGGUCCCUAUCUGCCGUGGGCGCUGGAGAAUUGAGGGGGGCUGCUCCUAGUACGAGAGGACCGGAGUGGACGCAUCACUGGUGUUCGGGUUGUCAUGCCAAUGGCACUGCCCGGUAGCUAAAUGCGGAAGAGAUAAGUGCUGAAAGCAUCUAAGCACGAAACUUGCCCCGAGAUGAGUUCUCCCUGAGACUUUAAGUCUCCUGAAGGAACGUU